AGAAUGUAACAUUUUCUGGCAGAUAUUGUUCCUGAAAUCAUCAGGCUUCAAAUCAUUAACACUCUUGAACAGCUCGUUGAUGCAACCAAGCUCUACUAGUUGUUCAGGGCUGUUGCGAAGCCCAAACAUAUCCUUAAAACACUGGCACAACUUGUCGAUGCAACCAGUUCGUGCUUGUUGUUCAGAGUAGUUCGAAAGCCUUACUUGUUGUCCAGAGCCGUUCUCGCGCCCUUCAUGUUGUUCAGAGGUGUUGUCUUGCGUUUGUUGUUGUUCAGAGCUGUUAUCACGUUCUUCUUGUUGUAAGGAGGUGUUGUCACGCCCUUCUUGUUGUUCAUAGCCGUUGUCAUGCCCUUCUCGUUGUUCAGAGGUGUUCUCACGUUCUUCUUGUUGUUGAGGGGUGUUCAAAAGACGGAUGAUAGUUCCCAAUGGAAGGGUAAGGAAACUGAAGAGAACAUCUACCAAGUCCCCGUCUGCUUCUGCUACAAUCACACUAGUCUUCUCAUGGUUCAUCCAAUAUUUCAAACUCAAACCGUUUCCUACUUCUUCGUUUGAAGCCAUAACUGAAACAUAAAACUAAAUAAUAUUAACCAAUUAAAAAAAAAAACAAAUGUACAGUUUUAGUGGAGUUUCUGAUUCAAAUCAAUUGUUGGUCCAUUGUUGCACUUAGGUCAUAUUUCUAGGAAUCGCUUCUGCCAAGCAUGCUGAGCACGUUGUCUAUGGCUUUGGCAUUAAAUUCUCACUGAAUGCAAUUGAAUUUUCUGAAGCAUUGGACACUCUUCCUUUUAGUUACAGAGAUACCAUUUUUC
This 806-nucleotide small RNA is filed under the name Vigna angularis var. angularis. Its description in RNAcentral is "Non-protein coding transcript". Lineage: Eukaryota; Viridiplantae; Streptophyta; Magnoliopsida; Fabales; Fabaceae. The record is from RNAcentral.